GUAGGGAAUCUUCCGCAAUGGACGCAAGUCUGACGGAGCAACGCCGCGUGAGUGACGAAGGUUUUCGGAUCGUAAAACUCUGUUGUGAGGGAAGAACACGUACCAACUAACUAUUGGUACCUUGACGGUACCUCACCAGAAAGCCACGGCUAACUACGUGCCAGCAGCCGCGGUAAUACGUAGGUGGCAAGCGUUGUCCGGAAUUAUUGGGCGUAAAGCGCGCGCAGGCGGUUCCUUAAGUCUGAUGUGAAAGCCCACGGCUCAACCGUGGAGGGUCAUUGGAAACUGGGGAACUUGAGUGCAGAAGAGGAAAGUGGAAUUCCACGUGUAGCGGUGAAAUGCGUAGAGAUGUGGAGGAACACCAGUGGCGAAGGCGACUUUCUGGUCUGUAACUGACGCUGAGGCGCGAAAGCGUGGGGAGCAAACAGGAUUAGAUACCCCUGUAGUCC
This 449-nucleotide ribosomal RNA is filed under the name uncultured bacterium. RNAcentral's name for it is "partial 16S ribosomal RNA". It matches the Rfam family "Bacterial small subunit ribosomal RNA", at positions 354 to 796 of the family's 1533-position model. The record is from RNAcentral.